GCCUGGGUGGCUCAGUCGGUUAAGCGUCUGACUUCGGCUCAGGUCAUGAUCUCACGGUCUGUGGGUUCAAGCCCCACAUUGGGCU
Molecule: transfer RNA, 85 nt
Filed under: Felis catus (domestic cat)
Lineage: Eukaryota; Metazoa; Chordata; Mammalia; Carnivora; Felidae
Rfam family: tRNA
About the family: Transfer RNA (tRNA) molecules are approximately 80 nucleotides in length. Their secondary structure includes four short double-helical elements and three loops (D, anti-codon, and T loops). Further hydrogen bonds mediate the characteristic L-shaped molecular structure. tRNAs have two regions of fundamental functional importance: the anti-codon, which is responsible for specific mRNA codon recognition, and the 3' end, to which the tRNAs corresponding amino acid is attached (by aminoacyl-tRNA synthetases). tRNAs cope with the degeneracy of the genetic code in two manners: having more than one tRNA (with a specific anti-codon) for a particular amino acid; and 'wobble' base-pairing, i.e. permitting non-standard base-pairing at the 3rd anti-codon position.
Source: Rfam by way of RNAcentral